UUAAGUAGGGGAUAGGGUUCGGGGGCAUUAGUAUUCAAUUGUCAGAGGUGAAAUUCUUGGAUUUAUUGAAGACUAACUACUGCGAAAGCAUUUGCCAAGGAUGUUUUCAUAAUCAAGAACGAAAGUUAGGGGAUCGAAGACGAUCAGAUACCGUCGUAGUCUUAACCAUAAACUAUGCCGACUAGGGAUCGGAUGAUGUUAAUUUUAUAAUGACUCA
Molecule: ribosomal RNA, 217 nt
Filed under: uncultured Glomeromycotina
Lineage: Eukaryota; Fungi; Glomeromycota
Description: partial small subunit ribosomal RNA
Rfam family: Eukaryotic small subunit ribosomal RNA
Source: RNAcentral